GACGAACGCUGGCGGCGUGCCUAAUACAUGCAAGUAGAACGCUGAAGAGAGGAGCUUGCUCUUCUUGGAUGAGUUGCGAACGGGUGAGUAACGCGUAGGUAACCUGCCUUGUAGCGGGGGAUAACUAUUGGAAACGAUAGCUAAUACCGCAUAACAAUGGAUGACACAUGUCAUUUAUUUGAAAGGGGCAAUUGCUCCACUACAAGAUGGACCUGCGUUGUAUUAGCUAGUAGGCGAGGUAAUGGCUCACCUAGGCGACGAUACAUAGCCGACCUGAGAGGGUGAUCGGCCACACUGGGACUGAGACACGGCCCAGACUCCUACGGGAGGCAGCAGUAGGGAAUCUUCGGCAAUGGGGGCAACCCUGACCGAGCAACGCCGCGUGAGUGAAGGAGGUUUUCGGAUCGUAAAGCUCUGUUGUAAGUCAAGAACGGGUGUGAGAGUGGAAAGUUCACACUGUGACGGUAGCUUACCAGAAAGGGACGGCUAACUACGUG
Molecule: ribosomal RNA, 497 nt
Filed under: uncultured bacterium
Lineage: Bacteria
Description: partial 16S ribosomal RNA
Rfam family: Bacterial small subunit ribosomal RNA
Source: RNAcentral